UUCAUGUUGUUUUUGCACCUGAAAAAGAGUAUGCCAGAAAUUAUUAAGAUGAUAUCAUGUAACUUCUUAUUGGUGAAGGCGGAAGGUGGAAAUCAUUUCCCUAACAUCUCCCUCACCCAAAAAGGCACUGAUUUAUAUUUAAAGCCAUUUAUACCCAAAUUAUUUUAAAAAAUUAAGAAAAAAGGAUUAACUAACAAAAUAAGGCCUCUACAUAAGUUUUUUUCCACUUUUUUUCCCCAGUUCAAGGGCGAUAGAAGCAAUUAUUUGAUCCUCUCACUGACAUCACCACAGGCAGGUAUUCAGCCACUGCACCACUGCCCCAGAAGAAAACCCAAUUAUGACUAAAGAAACAUGAUUAAUUCCAACGAACAAACUAGAUUUCAAAAAGCCUCAACAUUAUAUUUCAGAAAUACGUUAAGAAUUCGUGAAAACAUCUCUAAUGUCUUGAAAGAGCUCACCUUCAUCUUUUGAAGGAGUUAUAAGGAAAUUCAAGAAAAUCUAUAACUGCCUACUUGUUUCUACAGACUAUUUUUGCAAACGAAACAGGUGUGCACAUCUUCUGUUACCAUUUGCAAUCAAUUUCCCUAUGUUUUAAUUUCGGAUUCAAGUAGUAAUUGGCAUUGGUCAUAAAAACUUCAAAGGAAUAACAGUAUAACACAAAUCACAAAGAAUGACUGAAGCAAUCGCAACAAAAUGAGAUGAUUAGCCUGAUCUAUUGCGCUUGAAAGCACUUUCACAUAACUGUAUAUGCUGUCUCUUACUAUGGGGUGCAUAUUACUUCCUAACACCAUAAAACCAUAAAAUCUUUAUAAUAGGACACCAAAAGAAAAUAGAACUACUCUUGCUAUCGUGUUUAAAGGAGUGUCAAGGCUGUCAUUAUGGAUAUGGGAACAAAAGGGAUGAAUGAAUUAUAAUAUGG
RNAcentral lists this unclassified non-coding RNA (919 nucleotides) under Hevea brasiliensis (rubber tree). Lineage: Eukaryota; Viridiplantae; Streptophyta; Magnoliopsida; Malpighiales; Euphorbiaceae. The record is from RNAcentral.